RNAcentral lists this non-coding RNA (30 nucleotides) under Rattus norvegicus (Norway rat). Lineage: Eukaryota; Metazoa; Chordata; Mammalia; Rodentia; Muridae. The record is from RNAcentral.
UAUCCCAUCGAAGUCCAUGCCCUUGUGAUC